RNAcentral lists this long non-coding RNA (2846 nucleotides) under Mus musculus (house mouse). RNAcentral's name for it is "long non-coding RNA chr5:37412568-37415414". The record is from RNAcentral. Lineage: Eukaryota; Metazoa; Chordata; Mammalia; Rodentia; Muridae.
AUUUACACAAUGGAACACUACUACUCAGCUAUUAGAAACAAGGACAUCAUGAAAUUCACAGGCAAAUGGAUAGAACUAGAAAAUAUCAUCCUGGGUGAGGUAACCCAGACCCAAAGGACAUGCAUAGUAUGUGCUCACUUAUAAAUAGAUAUUAGCCAAAGAAAUAUACGGGAUACACACGCAAAUAAUUCUUUCCAUGCUAAGAUUUUGUGUGACUUGGGCUUUCUCUCCUGCAUGUUGUCACAGUCUCUGUGACAUAUGUGCAGCUUCCCUGCUCUGUCUGAAAAAUUCUCUCCUUGUAUUUAUCUACUUUUCUGGGACCUGCCAUCUCUUGGCCUCCUGUUCUGACGUGAUCCCUGAGUCCCAGGAUGAUGGGUGUGAUUCAGACACCCCAUUUAGCCUGCAGCAUUCUAAAGGCUCUCUUACAGUGCCAGCUGUGGGUCUCUGAGUUGAUCACCAUUCACAGCAAAACGCAGCUUCCCUGGUGAUGGUUGAGAGUAUGUGUGGAUUUUUCUUUUUUAAAUCCCAUGAAUUACAGUAACAUGUUCCAGUGAGGAGAAAGCUCUCAUUCACUGAAGCCCUGGGUGUGCAGGCAUGCGCAGAGACCCAUGACCAAGGCAACUUACAAAAGGAAGCACUUAACUGAGCUCUUUCAAAGGGUUGGAGCACAUGAUGACAGAGUAAAGGCAUGGCAGAGGGAACAUCUUGUUUCACAAGCAGGAAACUGAGGCAUACUAGAAAUAGUGUGAGUCUUUAGAAACCCCAAAGCCUGCCCUUCCUCCUAAUCUUUUGCCAACACUUCCACCAGCUAGGGAGCAAGUACUCAGACACAUGAGCCUAUGAGAGCCAUUCUCACUCAGAACAUCACCCUUCUUCUACUCAUAUCUUCCUGGAUGCUGGAGCAAAGACCCCCAUUUACCCUGUAUGGUUCUCAGAUAACCUGGACACCAACAGGAGACCCAGGUGGUACCAGACAGAACAGCUGCAGCCUUUAUGUGCAAAAUUGUAACUAACAUAACUCAUCCAUCUUUUAGAAUAAUAUAAUCUAUCCUGGCCAGGCUGACUGAGGUGGGUUUUUUGUUUUGUUUGUUUGUUUGUUUGUUUGUUUGUUUAACCAGGGCUAUAAGGAAUUUCUAGGAAUUUAACCUGAGGACAUUAGUUUACAAAACUCACUUACUUACUAGGUUAAAGGGGAGGAAACCACUCAUGUGGCCAUUUCACCACAUACAGAGAAUUCUUGAUGGACUUUAACAUUCACUCAAGAUGGAUCUCCUCAGGAAAUCAGACAGGAGGAAGCCUCCACAGAACCUCCACCAAAGCAUUUAACAAGUGUUCAUUUGGAGGGAGACUGGCAUGGAGAUGGACCAGUGCCCCAGAUUCUAGUCAGAGGGAAGGAGCCUAAGAUAUGGAAAGGGAACCAGGCAUUGUGGUGUACACCUUCAAUUCUAGUGCUUGGAAGGCAGAAGUAGGCAGACCUCUGUGAGUUCAAGGCCAGGCUAGUCUACAUAAGGAGUUCCAGGAGGCUGCAUAGUGAGAGACUCUCUCAAAGUUUAAAAAAAAUCCAAGACCUCCCCCCCAAAAAUAUGAAGUUCAUGCCCCAGGUCACUUAUAGAGCCCUGAGAUUGAGACACUAAGGCACCUGAGUACCUGAGAUGCACAUCCAGGCUAGUAUUGUUCACAUCAGACGCCCCACCUCCCCCACCUACGGUCUUAGACUACCUAGAGAACACAACACCCACCCUUCCCAUUUCAUCUCAGAGCUCUUCUGAAUAGUGUCAGAGCUUCCUGUCAUGGUUGCCCACAGUGCGGAACCCUGUGCAUCCUGCAUCAGGAGCAGAGACUCAGACUACACAUUCUACAGUUGGUAGUGAGGUGGUGGACAGGCUGGACCUUCCUGGUUGGCUCGAGGAGAGAAGGCAGCCUGCUUUGCUUUGUCUGAGACUCUCAUUCUGCAGUGCAGUCAUUCUGUGCCAAAUGCUUUCCUGUUGGUAAUGAGCUUCUUAGCUGUUAAAGCAUUUGGAGAAUUUAAAAAGCAUGAAAUGAAAAGCUUGGGAAGAAACGAUUCCUAAGGAGAGUCCGCGGUGUGCAUCUCAUUCCGUGAACAAUUUAGUUUCCUUUUGUGAAAUAGGACUAGUAGGACCGUGUGGCAAAGACGGGCAGAUUUAAACAGGACAGGCUUACUCAGAAAGAAGGAGUAACCUCGGGCUAACGGUCCCUGCUGUAUUCGCAGCUCAGUGUCACUUUCCAAGCCCAGCAAGGUGUCCUCCUGUGCUUCGCUGCCUGUGUGCCCCAGCCACUCCGUUGGUUGAUUCUGCCUGAGUUUUCACAUUGCAACUCUGCCACCCAGCACCACUGCUCUUAGGCACCUUGAUAUCAGAAGCAGAGAUGGUGUUGCUAUUAGCCGACAUUCACUGAGCAGGCUCUAAGUCCAGUGCACCGCGUGCAGUGCUUGGAGCUUAGAGACACUCAAAGACAUUUCUGUUCCCAGGUGAGAGGCUCAGGAGCAGACUUCUGUAAAGCACUGUUACUCGGGUCUCAGGGUCUUUCAGAGAAUCCAAUCAAGAGGCUCAGAAGUUUAAGCAGAAAUGUAUUUAGCAAAGCAAAACACGGAACUCAAGAGAGAUUGGGGUAGGCUGUCCCGAAGCAGAGAUGAUCAGCACAGAGGGUUCUGAGUUGUGGGUUUAAAAGACAUGGUUUUUAAAAGUUAUUUGUUUGUUUGUUUGUUUAUUUUUUAUGAAAGUUUAUGGGGUGGGUAGUGUAGUUAUGCAUGAGAUGUCUCAAAAUACAGAUAUAUCAGAUCUCCCUUUUAGGACAUUUGCCAUAAGUCUGCGGGAAUGGAUAAGAGA